Molecule: ribosomal RNA, 607 nt
Filed under: Nocardiopsis tropica
Lineage: Bacteria; Bacillati; Actinomycetota; Actinomycetes; Streptosporangiales; Nocardiopsidaceae
Description: bacterial SSU rRNA
Rfam family: Bacterial small subunit ribosomal RNA
Source: RNAcentral
CGGGGUACACGAGCGGCGAACGGGUGAGUAACACGUGAGCAACCUGCCCCCGACUCCGGGAUAAGCGGUGGAAACGCCGUCUAAUACCGGAUACGACACACCGCCUCAUGGCGGUGUGUGGAAAGUUUUUCGGUCGGGGAUGGGCUCGCGGCCUAUCAGCUUGUUGGUGGGGUAACGGCCUACCAAGGCGAUUACGGGUAGCCGGCCUGAGAGGGCGACCGGCCACACUGGGACUGAGACACGGCCCAGACUCCUGCGGGAGGCAGCAGUGGGGAAUAUUGCGCAAUGGGCGAAAGCCUGACGCAGCGACGCCGCGUGGGGGAUGACGGCCUUCGGGUUGUAAACCUCUUUUACCACCAACGCAGGCUCCCAGUUCUCUGGGGGUUGACGGUAGGUGGGGAAUAAGGACCGGCUAACUACGUGCCAGCAGCCGCGGUAAUACGUAGGGUCCGAGCGUUGUCCGGAAUUAUUGGGCGUAAAGAGCUCGUAGGCGGCGUGUCGCGUCUGCUGUGAAAGACCGGGGCUUAACUCCGGUUCUGCAGUGGAUACGGGCAUGCUAGAGGUAGGUAGGGGAGACUGGAAUUCCUGGUGUAGCGGUGAAAUGCGC